CAUGUUGAACACCAGUUCUCAUAUGACCACAAAAGUUAAGCUAUGUUGAGCCUGGUCAGUGCCUAGAUGGGUAAAUACUUGGGAACAGCAGAUGCUGUAAG
Acanthosepion pharaonis is the source of this 101-nucleotide non-coding RNA. Lineage: Eukaryota; Metazoa; Mollusca; Cephalopoda; Sepiida; Sepiidae. The record is from the annotation of a GenBank genome assembly.